Molecule: ribosomal RNA, 253 nt
Filed under: uncultured bacterium
Lineage: Bacteria
Description: partial 16S ribosomal RNA
Rfam family: Bacterial small subunit ribosomal RNA
Source: RNAcentral
UACGGAGGGUGCAAGCGUUGUCCGGAAUCACUGGGCGUAAAGGGCGCGUAGGCGGCUCAUGAAGUCUGUGGUGAAAGUCCGGGGCUCAACCUCGGAUCGGCCGUGGCGACUCGUGGGCUGGAGCACUGUAGAGGCGGGUGGAAUUCCGGGUGUAGCGGUGGAAUGCGUAGAGAUCCGGAAGAACACCGGUGGCGAAGGCGGCCUGCUGGGCAGUAGCUGACGCUGAAGCGCGACAGCGUGGGGAGCAAACAGG